RNAcentral lists this ribosomal RNA (301 nucleotides) under uncultured bacterium. RNAcentral's name for it is "partial 16S ribosomal RNA". It matches the Rfam family "Bacterial small subunit ribosomal RNA", at positions 509 to 807 of the family's 1533-position model. The record is from RNAcentral.
CAGUCGCCACGGUAAUACGGAGGGUGCAAGCGUUAUCCGGAUUUAUUGGGUUUAAAGGGUCCGUAGGCGGAUCUGUAAGUCAGUGGUGAAAUCUCACAGCUUAACUGUGAAACUGCCAUUGAUACUGCAGGUCUUGAGUAAAUUUGAAGUGGCUGGAAUAAGUAGUGUAGCGGUGAAAUGCAUAGAUAUUACUUAGAACACCAAUUGCGAAGGCAGGUCACUAAGAUUUAACUGACGCUGAUGGACGAAAGCGUGGGGAGCGAACAGGAUUAGAGACCCGCGUAGUCCCUGUCUCUUAUAC